Molecule: ribosomal RNA, 290 nt
Filed under: uncultured prokaryote
Description: partial 16S ribosomal RNA
Rfam family: Bacterial small subunit ribosomal RNA
Source: RNAcentral
GUGCCAGCAGCCGCGGUAAUACGGAGGGUGCAAGCGUUAAUCGGAAUUACUGGGCGUAAAGCGCGCGUAGGCGGUUUGUUAAGUCAGAUGUGAAAGCCCCGGGCUCAACCUGGGAAUGGCAUUUGAGACUGGCAGGCUAGAGUAUGGUAGAGGUGAGUGGAAUUUCAGGUGUAGCGGUGAAAUGCGUAGAGAUCUGAAGGAACAUCAGUGGCGAAGGCGACUCACUGGGCCAUUACUGACGCUGAGGUGCGAAAGCGUGGGUAGCAAACAGGAUUAGAAACCCCCGUAGU